AAAGGGAUAAUUAUUAAAUACGGCAUGUCUUUAGUGUAUAUAUAUAACAGUAUAUUUUUUCUCUUUUUAUAAAACUGACAGCGAGAAAAGGAAGAAAAGUCCAUGUUAAUUCAUCAUAUAUUCUAAUACACUUCAGCUGCAGAUUAAAGGAACCAUGCCAGUUGCUGCUACCGCAGACAGAGAACGGAGAAAUCCUCUACGAGCCCCAUGGGUUUACAGAAGUCUAUCCAUCACUCUGUCAGUCUUCCGGAUCAUUAUUCAAGUUGCUAUCCCCAAUUUUGCUGGAUAUAUCAGAUCAACUCCAGCUCCAUAGCAGAACUUUUCAUCUUUUUUGUUCACAGUCCCGUUCCCAGGAUCUAGAACAGCACCUGAUACCAGAUAACUGUUGGUUGAAUGGAUGAUUAAAUUAUAAAAUGCAAGUCAAGGAACAGAGCAACAGGAGUUUGGAGUGGAGCCGGAUCACACACAUCUUCUGAUCACUAUAUAAAUAUUUUCCCAGAUGAUCCUAACAAAUAAGGCUACAAGAUGGAUAGUGUGCUUUCUUCCUAUAUUUAAAGACAGCAAAGUGGAAAGCUGAUGAAUAUUAUAAGGACACACUGAAUAGUGCAUCGUUACUAUGGCAAUAAAAAAGAGAACCAAUGUCCACAUAUCUUUUGGUAAAAUUCCAUCUCUCUGGGUAAAAUUUUACAGUUCUCUGCAUUAGAUGUAAGCAAAUAUUCUUCAUGUAACAUUUUAAAUUAAA
Panthera uncia (snow leopard) is the source of this 742-nucleotide long non-coding RNA. RefSeq lists it as uncharacterized. The record is from RefSeq and is a predicted model, not a curated record. The transcript is spliced from 4 exons. NCBI's taxonomy places the organism in Eukaryota, Metazoa, Chordata, Mammalia, Carnivora, Felidae.